UACGGAGGGUGCAAGCGUUAUCCGGAUUUAUUGGGUUUAAAGGGUCCGUAGGCGGAUCUGUAAGUCAGUGGUGAAAUCUCGCAGCUUAACUGCGAAACUGCCAUUGAUACUGCAGGUCUUGAGUGAAUUUGAAGUGGCUGGAAUAAGUAGUGUAGCGGUGAAAUGCAUAGAUAUUACUUAGAACACCAAUUGCGAAGGCAGGUCACUAAGAUUCAACUGACGCUGAUGGACGAAAGCGUGGGGAGCGAAC
This 250-nucleotide ribosomal RNA is filed under the name uncultured bacterium. RNAcentral describes it as "partial 16S ribosomal RNA". It matches the Rfam family "Bacterial small subunit ribosomal RNA", at positions 524 to 773 of the family's 1533-position model. The record is from RNAcentral.